RNAcentral lists this microRNA precursor (142 nucleotides) under Theobroma cacao (cacao). RNAcentral describes it as "mir-399 microRNA precursor family". It matches the Rfam family "mir-399 microRNA precursor family". From Rfam's summary of the family: mir-399 was identified in both Arabidopsis thaliana and Oryza sativa computationally and was later experimentally verified. mir-399 is thought to target mRNAs coding for a phosphatase transporter. The mature sequence is excised from the 3' arm of the hairpin. Lineage: Eukaryota; Viridiplantae; Streptophyta; Magnoliopsida; Malvales; Malvaceae. The record is from Rfam by way of RNAcentral.
GGAUGCAUUACUGGGCAAUUACACCUUUGGCAGUUGGCCACUCGAUCCCAUGUUCAUGUGAGCAAAACUCGAGAAAUCGCACACGGCAUGCAUGGAUGGAAGUAAGCUCACUGCCAAAGGUGAUUUGCCCGGCAAUUCAUCU